AAAAAGACAAACCCUAGGUUUUUAUAUCUAAAUUUGACUGUCAGUUUUAUAUGAAAUUUUUUUUAUAAUUCGUAUUUUCAUUGUUGUUAGAUGAUAAAACAUGAUUAAUAUUUUAUGCGUAAUUGUCUUUUUAAUUUUUUUCAUAAUUUUGAAUUUUUUCAAAUAAGACGGACGGUUAAAUAUUGGGCACGGAAAUCAGGGUUUGUCUUCUU
This 212-nucleotide microRNA precursor is filed under the name Oryza rufipogon (brownbeard rice). RNAcentral's name for it is "MIR812 microRNA precursor family". It matches the Rfam family "MIR812 microRNA precursor family". The record is from Rfam by way of RNAcentral. Lineage: Eukaryota; Viridiplantae; Streptophyta; Magnoliopsida; Poales; Poaceae.